This 776-nucleotide ribosomal RNA is filed under the name uncultured Neocallimastigales. Its description in RNAcentral is "partial large subunit ribosomal RNA". It matches the Rfam family "Eukaryotic large subunit ribosomal RNA", at positions 23 to 634 of the family's 3401-position model. The record is from RNAcentral. Lineage: Eukaryota; Fungi; Neocallimastigomycota; Neocallimastigomycetes; Neocallimastigales.
AGAGAGAGACAUGCGCGCAUAUCAAUAAGCGGAGGAAAAGAAACUAACUAAGGAUUCCCUCAGUAACGGCGAGUGAAGCGGGAAGAGCUCAAAUUUGAAAUCUUCAAGGUUUUACCUUGACGAAUUGUAGUUUAAAGAAGUGUUUUCUGCUGAAGUUUUGGUAAAAGUUCUUUGGAAUAGGACAUCAUAGAGGGUGAGAAUCCCGUAUUUGACCAUUAUUUUCAGCUUUGUGAUACACUUUCAAAGAGUCGGAUUGUUUGGGAAUGCAGUCCAAAAUGGGUGGUAAAUUUCAUCUAAAGCUAAAUAUUGGCGAGAGACCGAUAGCGAACAAGUACCGUGAGGGAAAGAUGAAAAGAACUUUGAAAAGAGAGUUAAACAGUACGUGAAAUUGUCAAAAGGGAAGCGUUUGACACCAGUGUUGUUUUCUCGAAAAUCAAUUAAAAAUGGCUCGAUUUUGUAUUGCUGAGACCUUAAAAGCUCACUGUACAUUUUUCGUGUCUUUUUUAAUGCACUUUUCGUUUAACAAGUCAACAUCAGUUUCUUUUGUUGUAAAAGGGUCAUUGGAAGGUGGCUUUCUUUUCGGAGAAAGUGUUUAUAGCCUUUGGCCUCUGCAAUCGGAAGAGACUGAGGUCUGCAGCGUAGACUCUUCGGGGUUAGAUACAUUUGUGCUAAGUUAUAGCUUUUUAUAGACAACUUGUUGACUAUAAUUAGUCUUGUAGCUUACUCGCUUAUGCUAUUUUACCUACGCUUAGGAUGUUGAAGAUGUAGCACAUCAU